RNAcentral lists this ribosomal RNA (540 nucleotides) under uncultured bacterium. Its description in RNAcentral is "bacterial SSU rRNA". It matches the Rfam family "Bacterial small subunit ribosomal RNA", at positions 16 to 518 of the family's 1533-position model. The record is from RNAcentral.
AUUAUGGCUCAGAACGAACGCUGGUAGCGUGGAUUAGGCAUGCAAGUCGAACGGGAUCCGGGAGGUAGCAAUACUCCUGGUGAGAGUGGCGGAUUGGGGAGGAACACGUGAGCAACCUGCCUUGGAGUCGGGGAAAACCGUUGGAAACGACGGCUAAUACCGGAUGUGGCGCCUGGCGACAUCGCCGGAGCGCUAAAGGGGGCCGCAAGGCUCUCGCUCCUAGAGGGCUCGCGCACCAUCAGCUUGUUGGCGGGGUAACGGCCCACCAAGGCCUACGGUUAGCUGGUCUGAGAGGAUGACCACGCCCCACGUGGGACUGAGAUACUCGCCCAGACUCCGUACGGGAGGCUGCAGUCGGAGGAUCUAUUUGACAAGUGGGACGAAAGCCUGAACAAUGCGACGCUGCGUGGGAAGGAUAGGAACGGCCGUUCGGGUUAGUAAACCUCCUGUCAGUGGGGGAACAGGCGAGGGGACCCAAUACGUCCCUUAGUUGAGUGUACCCCAAGAGGAAUUGGCGGCUAACUCUGUGCCAGCAGCCGC